This 253-nucleotide ribosomal RNA is filed under the name uncultured bacterium. RNAcentral describes it as "partial 16S ribosomal RNA". It matches the Rfam family "Bacterial small subunit ribosomal RNA", at positions 524 to 776 of the family's 1533-position model. The record is from RNAcentral.
UACGUAGGGUGCAAGCGUUGUCCGGAAUUAUUGGGCGUAAAGAGCUCGUAGGCGGUUCGUCGCGUCGGCUGUGAAAUCCCGAGGCUCAACCUCGGGUCUGCAGUCGAUACGGGCGGACUGGAGUACUGCAGGGGAGACUGGAAUUCCUGGUGUAGCGGUGAAAUGCGCAGAUAUCAGGAGGAACACCGGUGGCGAAGGCGGGUCUCUGGGCCGAUACUGACGCUGAGGAGCGAAAGCCAGGGGAGCAAACGGG